Molecule: ribosomal RNA, 253 nt
Filed under: uncultured bacterium
Lineage: Bacteria
Description: partial 16S ribosomal RNA
Rfam family: Bacterial small subunit ribosomal RNA
Source: RNAcentral
UACGUAGGAGGCAAGCGUUGUCCGGAUUUAUUGGGCGUAAAGAGCGUGUAGGCGGUUUGGUAGGUCCGCUGUGAAAACUCGAGGCUCAACCUCGAGACGCCGGUGGAAACCAUCAGGCUAGAGUCCGGAAGAGGAGAGUGGAAUUCCUGGUGUAGCGGUGAAAUGCGCAGAUAUCAGGAAGAACACCCGUGGCUAAGGCGGCUCUCUAGUACGGUACUGACGCUGAGACGCGAAAGCGUGGGGAGCGAACAGG